CUACGGGGGGCUGCAGUGGGGAAUUUUUCGCAAUGGGCGCAAGCCUGACGAAGCAACGCCGCGAGGAGGAUGAAGGUCUUCGGAUUGUAAACUCCUGUCGACCGGGACGAAUGCACCCGACCUAAUACGUCGGAGUGUUGACGGUACCGGUGGAGGAAGCCACGGCUAACUCUGUGCCAGCAGCCGCGGUAAUACAGAGGUGGCAAGCGUUGUUCGGAAGUGCUGGGCGUAAAGGGCGCAUAGGUGGCCUGAAAGCCCUCGGCUUAACUGAGGAUCUGCACGGGAUACUGCGAGGCUUGAGUUCGGGAGAGGAAAGCGGAAUUCCGGGUGUAGCGGUGAAAUGCGUAGAUAUCCGGAGGAACACCAGUGGCGAAGGCGGCUUUCUGGACCGACACUGACGCUGAGGCGCGAAAGCUAGGGGAGCAAACGGGAUUAGAUACCCUAGUAGUC
This 450-nucleotide ribosomal RNA is filed under the name uncultured bacterium. Its description in RNAcentral is "partial 16S ribosomal RNA". It matches the Rfam family "Bacterial small subunit ribosomal RNA", at positions 339 to 795 of the family's 1533-position model. The record is from RNAcentral.